ACGAACGCUGGCGGCGUGCUUAACCCCUGCAAGUCGAACGGAAAGGCCCCUUUGGGGGUACUCGAGUGGCGAACGGGUGAGUAACACGUGAGUAACCUGCCCUUGACUUCGGGAUAACUUCAGGAAACUGGGGCUAAUACCGGAUAGGAAUCCUUGCUGCAUGGCGGGGGUUGGAAAGCUUCGGCGGUUUUGGAUGGACUCGCGGCUUAUCAGCUUGUUGGUGGGGUAGUGGCUUACCAAGGCUUUGACGGGUAGCCGGCCUGAGAGGGCGACCGGCCACAUUGGGACUGAGAUACGGCCCAGACUCCUACGGGAGGCAGCAGUGGGGAAUAUUGCACAAUGGGCGGAAGCCUGAUGCAGCAACGCCGCGUGCGGGAUGACGGCCUUCGGGUUGUAAACCGCUUUCAGCAGGGGCGAAGCUUGUGGUGACGGUACCUGCAGAAGAAGCACCGGCUAACUACGUG
RNAcentral lists this ribosomal RNA (464 nucleotides) under uncultured bacterium. RNAcentral describes it as "partial 16S ribosomal RNA". It matches the Rfam family "Bacterial small subunit ribosomal RNA", at positions 29 to 507 of the family's 1533-position model. The record is from RNAcentral.